RNAcentral lists this microRNA precursor (182 nucleotides) under Lotus japonicus. RNAcentral's name for it is "miR11162 stem-loop (lja-MIR11162)". The record is from miRBase by way of RNAcentral. Lineage: Eukaryota; Viridiplantae; Streptophyta; Magnoliopsida; Fabales; Fabaceae.
GGAUUCCUUCAUGAGAAGACUUGAAAAAGUGACAAAGGUAUCUAGCUAUGCCGGAUAAUGACAAAAAUAAGCAUUGGUAUCUAACUUGCUACUUACACUUUGUUUACCAAUGCUUAUUUUCAUCAAUAUUUAGCAUAGCUAGAUACCUUCGUCACUUUGUCAAGUCUUCCAUAAAGGAAUCC